AGAGGGAAGUCCCGCCCUCCCACUCGGGCCCCCAUCGAGCCCUUUUCCACUUCAAUUCCAUCUGUGCUUCAGGGUAACCGUCAGGAAGGACUUCCUACCCUGCCAGCUGGCCUGAAAGCCAGAGCAUCUUCCACCGCCACUGCCCUGAGCAUCACCCUUCCUUCCUCUCAGGCUCCGCCCUGCCAGGGGCACAAAGAGUGUGCAGGGGAAGCUUAGCUCCAGCUCAGCUCCUUGCGCCACAGGACAAGGGGCCUCUUUCUUCAGUGCAGGGCUUUGCUCCAUGACACACCGUGUCGGCGGGACCCCGGGAACCAAGCCUGGUUCUGGAGCCAAUGCUGGCACAGGUUGGCUAAUGCUUCCAGGAUGGGAUCAAGGUGAAGAGGUAAUAACAUCACAGACAUGCUCCUGCCCCGCCCCCUUCAUUAAGAAAACAUUUUGUGUAUGCACACAUACGUGAGGAAGUCAGAGGGCAGCUGAUGAAGCCAGUCUGAUCCGUCCAUCACAGGGGUUGCCAGGCCUCAGUCCCAGGUUGUCAAGCUUGGUGGCAAGUACCUUUUCCGGCUAAGUGGUUUUGCCAGCCCUUGCCUGGCUGCUUUCUCCUGGGAUGUUAGCUUUAGGCCUCAGCUCCUAUCAACUGGGAAAUACGGGCAAACUCUCCUUUGUCCCUCCUGACUCAGGGGUCAGAGCAUCCUUCUGGGGCCAUCUUUAGAGUCUCCACCCCGUGCCAUUCCCAUCACCCUGGCAACAAGGUCUACAAGGUUUCCCUUCAGGUGAGCGAGACCCUGAGUUCACCUGUGACCUUGCCUGCUGAAGUUUCUGACACAGCCCUGGGUAUCGAGACAAGCUGCCUUCCUGCUGUGACUUCAACAGGGAGAGGAGAGUCCACACAGCUGGGGUUUCUGGAAACAGUCUUCUCGCUGGUCCUUUCCCUGACCUUUAAAAAUAAAGUCUGUGUGUCCAUUUCUGAGGCUUAACUGCCUUUUUUCUUCUGCUUGACAUCUUAGAAUCAACCUUCCAUCUGUGUUUGUAAAUGCUUUUCUAUUUAAAAAUCCACCUCCUCCCCGGUCUCUUUUUAAAUUUAAGAAACACAGGACCAUACUGCUAAAGGUGUCAGGAAACAUGCUCAAAUAAGGAAGGGCUCCAAAGACGGCCCUGCCAACAAAAUGCCAGUAAAAUCUGAAACCUGGGUUCAGACACACUGGGAGUGUUCCAAAACUUAAGACCUAAAGAGCGUCUCUAUUCCAGUAAAUCAGCCUCCCUGUGAAUGCCAUCAAAACCUGAGCUUUAAUGAGAGAGGGGAUAUCAGAGGAAGGGGUGGAGAGGAAAGGGCUUGGACCGGCCUGAAACUUAAUUUAAAAACUAUUAUGAGAAGAUUAAUUUCCCCUCCCCCAACCAAAUAUACAAAUCCUUCCUGCACAUUUAGCUUCAUUUUCUCUUCCCCCAAAAAUAAGAAAAAGGAAGGAAGAAGGGAGUCUCCAGCUCAUGAGACAAUGAUUCUGCAUGUAUGAGUGAGUGCAUGUGGACACAUGUGUGCGCCCCUGCGUGUGCAUGUGUGUGCAUAUGCGUGUAUGCCUGUGUGCGAGUGCAUGUGUGUGUUCAUGCACGAGUAUGUGUACAUGUGUGUGAGUAUAUGUGCACAUGUGUGUGAGCCUGUGUGUGUGUAUGGGCAAGUGUGUAUAUUUGUGUGCAUGUGUGUGAGUGUAUGUGCACAUGUGCAAGUGAGUGUGUAUGUGUGUGUGUGUGUGUGUGUGUGUGUGUGCAUAUGUGCCUGGCUGUGUACAAGCUAAAGGUUGCUUCCAAUCCCUUCCCCUCAGCGAGGCUGGCCUGCCUGGCCCCUCCUGUUGAGUGCUAGGGCUAUAGGCAUGUGUGGCGUGGCCGUAUCUGACUUUUGUUACCUAAGUGCUGGAGAUAUGAACUCAGGUUCCCCAUGAUUACAUAGCAAACACUUCACCCACUGAGUCAUCUCCCAGCCCCAAGGUGCACUUUUCAAAGUGACAAAUAUUACCUGCAGGACUUCAAUGGAUUGAAGCGUCAUGCUAGCUGUGUGAAAUAAUUCGAUGAAACCAGAAACAAAGUGGGUUUUCACUGAAUAAGGAGGAGGAUGGAUAAUAAAAAGCCACAGAGGUUGUUUGAAGAGGGACAGUCACGUGUCAGGCAAGUGGGCGUGGUCACAUGCCAGCCUAGUGGGCGUGGCCACAGAUUAUGCCUAGACAUUAAGCAGCUGCAGUUAAUGACGUGUGCGCACACAAUGCUGUAUCAGCCCUUUGCAGAGGUGCAGCUUAUCAGAGCCAGGCAGUACAGGAGAAAUUGACAGUGUGGCCUUGGGCUUUGUAAUAGGUACACACCAUGUUGUCGUGCCUGCCACCUCUACUUCAGGAAUGGGGAAAGGUUGGUUCUGGAAGCUUCCCUAGAGCACCCAGGGCCACGGCUGAGGCGUUUCUUUAAUCUCACCAGGAACCUGCAGAGACGGACCAUGAGACAGGCCCUUACCCCCACUGACAGUGAUGGACUGCUGGCUUAUGAAUCCUAGGGUACACUUUAGUGAGGGCACCUGCGGGGUUUGCUCCUCUGUUGAAUUUGGUCUCCUUGUUGAUAAAAGCCCUGAGCAGGGCAUAUGAAACACUUAGGUCACAGCUGUUCUUGCUCUGGCUUUCCUCUUAUUGAUGUGCCAGAGCCUCCUUGGUGGUACCUCCUGGAUAAGGAGACACACACACACACACACACACACACACACAUACAUACAUAUACACACACAUACACACACCUGCACACAGGCCACUCUACUCAAGCCGUCUUCUGGCUCAUCUGAGGUGCUUCCGAAGAGGCCCUGUGCACCCCCCUACCUAAAAUGUCUCAGAACAGAUGAAACUCCCACGCAGAUACCCAACAAGACCAUCAAUGCACCAACAUCACGGGUCUGUGUCCAGGUGACAAGGUGCCAGAUUACCUGUGUUGCUAGCCGGGUUGAAGCAGCCCCAAAACGUUGAGAGUUCCUGAGGGAACACUCCCUGGGACACAUUUUCUAGCAACACUCUUCCCUGGACAUACUUUGCUGGGGACAAACUCUCUCAGGGAAACCCUAGACAUAAGCUCUUUCAUGUGAGCACUCUCCUUGGAGUAUGCUGUCCCAUGGGGCACACUGUCCCGUGGGGCACAUUUUCCCAUGGGGCACGCUCUCCCAUGGGGCACACUCUCCUGAACAUGUUGCAGCCAGGAGUUUAGUUCCUCUGCUUUUCUUCCCUAGUUUGGCUCAAGUUUGAAUGUGGAUUUAUUCCAUUCCAAAGCAGCUCCGCUCAUUCAUCAUCUCUCCCAAGCUUCUAGAAAACUCUGUGUCACCAUGACUCCUAGAGAUGACGCUUCUGCCUCCCUGACACCAUACAAUGCGGGAUCCUCUCCGUUCCUGUGAUGGAUGCUUGGUGAGGCACCCUUGAGGAAGAGCCUCCCCGAGGAAGUCACUCAUCUGGCAGAGAGGAGGGGCUGUGCCCACCUUCCACACGUGACGGACUUUCUGGGCACAUGUGCAAGCAUGCCAAACACUAGUGUGGGACAGAGAACUUUUGUCAAGGGAGAGAGCCUUAGUUGACUCCCUGGUGGGACUUGGGUGCUGGCAUACCUAGGGACCUACCGUUCCACACUGGCCCACCAAAUGACCCUCAUAAAGCUGGAAACCAUAAACGGAGCUUAGCGUUUAAGGAAACAAAGACUGCCCGGGUGCGCUUUUCUCGAAAUGAAACUGCCCGGAGCUUCUCAUAAGGCUUUUUACGAUAAGCAUUAAAAUGCAAAGAGGAAGAUUAAAGUUCCUGCCACAGAUGAGGCCUGAGGGGAAAGCGAGGAGGGCUGGCGGGCAGGGGCUGGUGGAGGCCGUGCACAGCAUUACAGUUGGAUAGUAUUAUAUAAAACGAGUGUGUUAUUAAAAGGAUCCUAAAGUUAUAAAAACUCAAAGGAACCUUUAGUGACGAUGAAUAACUUCUUUGGUAAGGAUGAAUAACUCACAUUUCCUACAGGCUUUUUUGGUGGUGGGGUGGGGUUGGCUACCUGGCUGGGCUCUUUAAUUGCUAAUACUUGGAUCUGGUUGUUCUUGUAGGACACCCUGCCUAGGGGCGGGGAAUCAGAAUGCAGUGUUGGACUAGGAACAUGCUAGGGGCCUGAGAGAAGUACUCCCCUAGCAACUGAAGUCCUUGAUUAUCCUAAUUUUAAAAAGGUUGCAGAAGACAGCAAACAGGCUCCAUUCUGCUCUGCUGAGACCCUGGCAGUGAACCCCCACUCCAGCAGGGAAGCAUUUUGGUCAGCCCACCAAGACCCUGUGCUCCAGAUAACAGAAGGAAGAAUUUUUGAAUACUCCCCAUUGCAGAACAUCAGGAUGUCAGCAGAAUCAGUAGCAGGUAUGCAGGUCUGUCCGUUUACCACCACUGUCUAUCCAUGCUGAACCAGUACUGACUCUCGAUUCUUUUCAAAGUUGGG
Long non-coding RNA from Mus musculus (house mouse), 4461 nucleotides. RefSeq annotates it as predicted gene, 41502. Lineage: Eukaryota; Metazoa; Chordata; Mammalia; Rodentia; Muridae. The transcript has 3 exons. The record is from RefSeq and is a predicted model, not a curated record.